Long non-coding RNA from Amphiprion ocellaris (clown anemonefish), 1340 nucleotides. The record is from Ensembl. Lineage: Eukaryota; Metazoa; Chordata; Actinopteri; Pomacentridae.
GUUUUAUUGACUUCCAACCACUAAACCAAUAAAAGCUGCAAGCAGCGUUGGACGGGUCCUCGCAUCCGAGCGGCCCGACUGGCCCACGCAUAUCCACCAGGAGGCGCUGCAACUGAGAGAGUAAAGUUUCAGGCAGAUUGGAGCAUGUACAGGCUACUUACACAGCACUUCCUGUUUCAUGGCGAGAAAUCCAAAAUGGCCGCCAGGUGGCGCAUAGAUAUGAUUAGGGCCGGACUCUGAUCAUACAUGUAAAAUUUCAGGCAGAUUGGAGCAUGUACAGGCUGGUUACACAGCACUUCCUGUUUCAUGGCAAGAAAUCCAAAAUGGCCGCCAAGUGGCGCAAAGAUGUGAUUAGGGCCGGACUCUGAUCAUACAUGUAAAAUUUCAGGCAGAUUGGAGCAUGUACAGGCUGGUUACACAGCACUUCCUGUUUCAUGGCAAGAAAUCCAAAAUGGCCGCCAAGUGGUGCUAUGACUGUCAGUAUCGACCUAUGGACGUGAUUAGGGCUGGACUCUGAUCACACAUGUAAAGUUUGAGGCAGAUUGGAGCAUGUACAGGCUAGUUAGAUAGCACUUCCUGUUUCAUGGCGAGACAUCCAAAAUGGCCACAUUCUGGUGGUCACCAUGGCCACGCCCUCAGACUGUUGCAGAGCGUUUUGAUAACCUUUGAUCAACCAUUACUGGUGUCCAUCCUGACCAAAUUUGAGCUCUCUCGUGGUUACGCUGUUUGAGUUAAUAGCUUUUGAAAAUGUCCAAAAAUGACAAAACUGUCCAAAAUAUGAAUCAUAUUUCAAAAUGGCCGCAUUCUGUGGCUCGCCAUUUCCACGCCCUCAGACUUUUGCGGAGCGUUUUGAUAACUUUUGAUCACCCGUGACUGGAGUACAUCCUGGCCAAAUUUCAGCUCUCUCGGGGUUACGCUGUUUGAGUUUAUAGAUUUUGAAAAAUGUCCAAAAAUGACACAAAAUUGUCCAAAAUAUGACUUAUAAUUCAAAAUGGCCGACUUCCUGUUGGAUUAUGGGUAAUGAUGCAUGAGGCUUUUUUGUGCGUCUUGACGAGUUACAUAUGUGUGCCGAUUUUCAGAAGUCUAGGUCGAACGCUGUCCGGGGGCUGAAUUUUGUUAAUUUUCUAGGGGGCGCUAUAGAGCCAUUUUAGCACGCACGCGUGCCAUUCGCCUAAAAUAUCAAAUUUUUCGCCGGUCCUGAUGUAUGUGGCGAUUUUCAUGCGUUUUCGUGUAUGUUUAGGGCGUCAAAAAGGCCGAUUUCCCGGCGGACGAAGAAUAAUAAUAAUAAUAAUAAUUCCUAGGGUUACAAUAGGUUCCUCGCACCACUUCGUGGUGCUCGG